AUUGAACGCUGGCGGCAGGCCUAACACAUGCAAGUCGAACGGUAACAGGAAGAAGCUUGCUUCUUUGCUGACGAGUGGCGGACGGGUGAGUAAUGUCUGGGAAACUGCCUGAUGGUGGGGGAUAACUACUGGAAACGGUAGCUAAUACCGCAUAACGUCGCAAGACCAAAGAGGGGGACCUUCGGGCCUCUUGCCAUCGGAUGUGCCCAGAUGGGAUUAGCUAGUAGGUGGGGUAACGGCUCACCUAGGCGACGAUCCCUAGCUGGUCUGAGAGGAUGACCAGCCACACUGGAACUGAGACACGGUCCAGACUCCUACGGGAGGCAGCAGUGGGGAAUAUUGCACAAUGGGCGCAAGCCUGAUGCAGCCAUGCCGCGUGUAUGAAGAAGGCCUUCGGGUUGUAAAGUACUUUCAGCGGGGAGGAAGGGAGUAAAGUUAAUACCUUUACUCAUUGACGUUACCCGCAGAAGAAGCACCGGCUAACUCCGUG
Molecule: ribosomal RNA, 490 nt
Filed under: uncultured bacterium
Lineage: Bacteria
Description: partial 16S ribosomal RNA
Rfam family: Bacterial small subunit ribosomal RNA
Source: RNAcentral